This is a small nucleolar RNA of Ursus maritimus (polar bear), 82 nucleotides long. Its record names the gene SNORD116. It matches the Rfam family "Small nucleolar RNA SNORD116". From Rfam's summary of the family: HBII-85 is a member of the C/D class of snoRNAs, which contain the C (UGAUGA) and D (CUGA) box motifs. Lineage: Eukaryota; Metazoa; Chordata; Mammalia; Carnivora; Ursidae. The record is from Ensembl.
GGAUCAAUGAUGAAUUAAAAAAUGGGUAUCAUUGGAAUCUGAAAAAAAUGAGUGACAGAAACACUUCUGUGAGCUGAGGUCU